AAUAUAUAUAAAGUAUAACAAAUGGAGUCUAUUUAAUGCAGUUAAAGUACAAAAUAGUUACCGAUAUCUAAAAUCUGGUGGAGUGUUGAUGUCCCUUGUAGACGCCUAAGUGAGUGAGAGGCUGAGAAGGUGAAGUGAGUGAGAGGCUGAGAAGGCGAAAGGUGAAGUGAGUGAGAGGAGGGGCGAAGUCAAGUCGAAUUGAGGUGUACUGUCCGGUUCGCCUCGGUACUCCUCCGAACUGUCCGGUUUGGAAGGGUUUGACCCUUGUUUUGAACCGAUUGGGCCUUCUCAGCCUCCCACAUCAAUCAUUUAAGAGGGGAGGGGUGAAGUGAAGUCGAAUUGAGGUGUACUGGGUACUCCUCCGAACUGUCCGGUUUGGAAGGGUUUGACCCCUGUUUUGAACCGAUCGGGCCUUCUCAGCCUCCCACAUCAAUCAUUUAAGAGGGGAGGGGUGAAGCAAGGUCGAAUUGAGGCAAACCGGUACUGCUCCAAACUGUCCGGUUUGGAGUGGUUCUACCCUUGUUUUGAACCGAUCGGGGGAACUGUCCUGGUUUACCCUAGUAUGGCUUGGUACACCCCAAAUCACCCAGUUCUGGGUAAGGAUGGUGAGCCAUGUUCAGGAUAGAUGGGAAGAUGGUAACUAUUUAUAGGAUUAGAUAAUUUGGUGAUUCCAAAGGGUAUACUCUCUGUGUUAGGUGGACUGGUUACAACUUGAAAGGCAACAUUCUUAUCUGUGACUGCCUUUGCGAUUGAGUAUAUGCUUUGUUUUGAUCAGAUGUAUGCUACUUAUCAUCAGAGCAAUUUAGUGAGGUUUAUUAUUGGAAAGGAGGUUAAGAGGCCAGGGUAGUUUAUUUAACUUCUGUUGGAUUUUUUUUGAAGAAAGAUGGAAGGUUGGAAGGUGCUAAAGUUUUUGGUAGUUUUCAGAGCAGAGAGACUAGAAUAUUAAGGUGUGGUAACUCUGGGUUUCUGUAGUAGGAUACAUUUGGGGAUUAAUAUAUGAUUGUGGUGUUUAUAAUUGGAUUUGUGGUAUUUAUGAAUGGAUUUUUAAAUGGAGAAAAAAAUGUUGGAUAAUAUAUUAUCAGUUUAACUGUUCUGCUA
This 1098-nucleotide long non-coding RNA is filed under the name Elaeis guineensis (African oil palm). Its description in RNAcentral is "long non-coding RNA (EGUI_LNC009556)". Lineage: Eukaryota; Viridiplantae; Streptophyta; Magnoliopsida; Arecales; Arecaceae. The record is from RNAcentral.